UACGGAGGAUCCAAGCGUUAUCCGGAAUCAUUGGGUUUAAAGGGUCCGUAGGCGGUUUGGUAAGUCAGUGGUGAAAGCCCAUCGCUCAACGGUGGAACGGCCAUUGAUACUGCCAGACUUGAAUUAUUAGGGAAGUAACUAGAAUAUGUAGUGUAGCGGUGAAAUGCUUAGAGAUUACAUGGAAUACCAAUUGCGAAGGCAGGUUACUACUAAUGGAUUGACGCUGAUGGACGAAAGCGUGGGUAGCGAACAGG
Molecule: ribosomal RNA, 254 nt
Filed under: uncultured bacterium
Lineage: Bacteria
Description: partial 16S ribosomal RNA
Rfam family: Bacterial small subunit ribosomal RNA
Source: RNAcentral